This 377-nucleotide unclassified non-coding RNA is filed under the name soil metagenome. RNAcentral's name for it is "partial contains 5.8S ribosomal RNA, internal transcribed spacer 2, and large subunit ribosomal RNA". The stretch from base 1 to 120 matches the Rfam family "5.8S ribosomal RNA", at positions 35 to 154 of the family's 154-position model. The record is from RNAcentral.
GAUGAAGAACGCAGCGAAAUGCGAUAAGUAAUGUGAAUUGCAGAAUUCAGUGAAUCAUCCAAUCUUUGAACGCAUCUUGCGCUCCUUGGUAUUCUGAGGAGCAUGCCUGUUUGAGUGUCAUUAAAUUCUCAACUACACUGACUUUGAUUUGGUGUGGCUUGGAUUUGGGGGGGAAAAUUGUUGUGGGCUUUUUGUAUAGUCUGCUCCCCUGAAAUUGAUUAGCGGUACCUUUGUGGAACUGUCUACAGGUGUGAUAAUUAUCUACAUCCUAGACAUCUGCUGGAAUGCUGCUUUCUAAACCUUACUUGUAUUGACAAUCUUGACCUCAAAUCAGGUAGGACUACCCGCUGAACUUAAGCAUAUCAAUAAGCGGAGGA